RNAcentral lists this ribosomal RNA (503 nucleotides) under uncultured bacterium. RNAcentral's name for it is "partial 16S ribosomal RNA". It matches the Rfam family "Bacterial small subunit ribosomal RNA", at positions 29 to 523 of the family's 1533-position model. The record is from RNAcentral.
AACGAACGCUGGCGGCAGGCUUAACACAUGCAAGUCGAGCGGAGUGAUGGUGCUUGCACUAUCACUUAGCGGCGGACGGGUGAGUAAUGCUUAGGAAUCUGCCUAUUAGUGGGGGACAACAUCUCGAAAGGGAUGCUAAUACCGCAUACGUCCUACGGGAGAAAGCAGGGGAUCACUUGUGACCUUGCGCUAAUAGAUGAGCCUAAGUCGGAUUAGCUAGUUGGUGGGGUAAAGGCCUACCAAGGCGACGAUCUGUAGCGGGUCUGAGAGGAUGAUCCGCCACACUGGGACUGAGACACGGCCCAGACUCCUACGGGAGGCAGCAGUGGGGAAUAUUGGACAAUGGGGGGAACCCUGAUCCAGCCAUGCCGCGUGUGUGAAGAAGGCCUUAUGGUUGUAAAGCACUUUAAGCGAGGAGGAGGCUCUUUUGGUUAAUACCCAAGAUGAGUGGGCGUUACUCGCAGAAUAAGCACCGGCUAACUCUGUGCCAGCCGCCGCCGUAA